Molecule: ribosomal RNA, 253 nt
Filed under: uncultured bacterium
Lineage: Bacteria
Description: partial 16S ribosomal RNA
Rfam family: Bacterial small subunit ribosomal RNA
Source: RNAcentral
UACGGAGGAUGCAAGUGUUAUCCGGAAUCACUGGGCGUAAAGCGUUUGUAGGUGGUUUAAUAAGUCAACUGUUAAAUCUUGAGGCUCAACCUCAAAAUCGCAGUCGAAACUAUUAGGCUAGAGUAUAGUAGGGGUAAAGGGAAUUUCCAGUGGAGCGGUGAAAUGCGUAGAGAUUGGAAAGAACACCGAUGGCGAAGGCACUUUACUGGGCUAUUACUAACACUCAGAGACGAAAGCUAGGGUAGCAAAUGGG